GACGAACGCUGGCGGCGUGCUUAACACAUGCAAGUCGAACGGAAAGGCCCUGCUUUUGUGGGGUGCUCGAGUGGCGAACGGGUGAGUAACACGUGAGUAACCUGCCCUUGACUUUGGGAUAACUUCAGGAAACUGGGGCUAAUACCGGAUAGGAGCUCCUGCUGCAUGGUGGGGGUUGGAAAGUUUCGGCGGUUGGGGAUGGACUCGCGGCUUAUCAGCUUGUUGGUGGGGUAGUGGCUUACCAAGGUUUUGACGGGUAGCCGGCCUGAGAGGGUGACCGGCCACAUUGGGACUGAGAUACGGCCCAGACGCCUACGGGAGGCAGCAGUGGGGAAUAUUGCACAAUGGGCGGAAGCCUGAUGCAGCAACGCCGCGUGCGGGAUGACGGCCUUCGGGUUGUAAACCGCUUUCGCCUGUGACGAAGCGUGAGUGACGGUAAUGGGUAAAGAAGCACCGGCUAACUACGUG
Molecule: ribosomal RNA, 468 nt
Filed under: uncultured bacterium
Lineage: Bacteria
Description: partial 16S ribosomal RNA
Rfam family: Bacterial small subunit ribosomal RNA
Source: RNAcentral